CGUUAAUGGCAAUGUAUUUGCAGACUGAAUAUAAAAUCCUAUGACAACAUUACAACUUUGAAGGAGGAAAGCUUUUUGAAUAAAUGUAUCUACACACAGAUAGAUUGACUGGAUAUACCUCUUAAAGUUUUAAAACAUGCUGCUUGAGUUAUGCUUAUUACUUUGUAAAGUGACUAAUAUCCCAUAUGAAUGCAGGCCAAUUUUUAAGUUUAGAAGUCAGAGCUCCCACAGUAAGCCUUUGGAUAUGGCACUCUGAGGCAAACCCUACAUUAAGAAAAAUUCUGCAGCUGUGCCAGGAAUCAGAUCAAAACACAGAGAACUUCAAAAUUCAGUUCUCAAAGUUAGGAAAGGUCAUGAAAUCUGCCACUAUUCGAAUUCGAGGUUGGGAAUUUCAGAGUGGUGAUGAUACUUUGAUCCUGAAAUUUACUUCCCUAGAGCUGGUAACAAUAGAACAUUUACAAAUACAUUGAAAGAAUGCGACUGCAUCCAAUUGUUUUUAAUAGUUUAUAGAGUACAGUUUGCAGAAAUCCCAUAAGGAAGACAAUGCUUUAAGUCCAGUGCACCUCCACUUAUCUAAAGUUUUAUAUUCAUAGUUGCAUAUGCCUUGAAACUGCAGGAACUUAUCCUAAGAAGCUCACAGCAUUGCCCCGCAUUGACAACACAUUUAACAGUAAACAGGGAAGUGUACACACUGCUUUCAAGAACCAACUUUAGCCAAUCUGACCUUUUUCCAAAGCGUUAUUGUUUGUUUUGAAACUUUUAAUCCAAUAAGAGCCUCUGUCGAUGCCAUCAUGAAUUCAGAUGUGUUUAUUUUGGAGCCUACACCAGCGCCUUUUUUGUUUGCUCUUUCCGGCAAUUCCCCAGUGAGGAGGAAGACCUGGAGUAAAGUCUUUCUCUACCGUCGGCACUGGAGGAGUGAGAGCUGAAAGAGGGAGAAUCGGGAUCGCCAUGGGGUUGGCCACUCUGGAACUUGAGCGGCUUUCGUCUGCGUUAGGAAGCGUGGGGAAACGGAACUGGCUGAGGGGCGACAUGUCACGGAGGAACGAGGAGCGGGCGCAAAGGUGAGGGCAGAGCACUGGGAAGGGGGCGGCG
RNAcentral lists this long non-coding RNA (1092 nucleotides) under Marmota monax (woodchuck). The record is from RNAcentral. Lineage: Eukaryota; Metazoa; Chordata; Mammalia; Rodentia; Sciuridae.